AAAGAAGGUCUUGACCUUACAAAGACUUGACCUUGCAUGUGGAUACUCAUCGACUACUCCAGCCAGAGGGACGAAACUCUUUCCUCACUACCGCCAUCUCUGCAACAGCUCAGACAAUGAGAAGCCACCACAUUUCAAACCACCAUUUUACACCAAUGGACUUUUAAUCGGACUUUCCUACUUACCCUUUUUCUCCUUAAAAAAAGCAUCCCCCCCCGACUUUGUUUCCUGUCCUUGCUUAUGGUUUUGCCACGGCUUGUAUGUCCCAGAGUACAAUUUUUCAUUCCUGAAUAAAACCAUCUUCUUUUGGUAAAAUAACUGGCAGUUUCUAUUUUUAAGGUUAACAAUUCUUGGUGAUCAGAAGUGGGCUCCAGAGAAGACCCCAACUGCUCCAGAGCUGGCUAGCCAACAGAAUUUAUGGAUCAAAAUCAUCCCAACUUUUCAGAAUGCAUCCCACAGGAGUAUUGGCCUUGGUUGGAGAAUUGCCCAUCUAUAGGAAAAGGAGGAAGAGGCACCCCUUAUGUUAAUUGUCCCAUAGCUGGCCAGGAGAAGCUUCAUGUCCUGAUCCUGAUAGUUGGACAGGAGAAGAAGCCUCAUCUCCUGGCCCUGCAUUUUGCCUGGCUACUCCACUGGCAGCCAAAAGCUUUGUCAGUCUCGUGAGGUGCUGGGAGCAGUCACUCUUGUCCAAGUUGACCCUACCUCCAAGAACUGACCUUGUCUUCCCUGAUUUCUCCUAUCGCUCUGUUUUCUGCCUGCAGGACUUUGGGGGUAUCGACUACGACCAAGCAAGACUUCCCUGGUUUAGAAGGAUGCACUCAUUUUAUUUUGGCCCAAGAAUAAUCAUCUUUACAAAUAUAUUUUAAAAGGCUUGUGAAAACCAUUUUUUGUAAGGAUAAAAUUGGCUGCCCAGAGGGCUAAAAGGGCCAAAGGAGAGGUCUAUUUCCUCGCCUUUUUCAGCAGUGCCCACAGAAAUGUGUUCUAGCCAUUUCGAGUAUCUAGGCUGUUACAAAUUGGAGGACACUGGGCUAAGUGUAGCAAAAUGGCUCCUAUGUAUUCUAGUGAAAGCCCUUUAUAUAUUA
Molecule: long non-coding RNA, 1079 nt
Organism: Herpailurus yagouaroundi (jaguarundi)
Lineage: Eukaryota; Metazoa; Chordata; Mammalia; Carnivora; Felidae
Exons: 2
Source: RefSeq, a predicted model, not a curated record